RNAcentral lists this ribosomal RNA (253 nucleotides) under uncultured bacterium. Its description in RNAcentral is "partial 16S ribosomal RNA". It matches the Rfam family "Bacterial small subunit ribosomal RNA", at positions 524 to 776 of the family's 1533-position model. The record is from RNAcentral.
GACGUAGGGCGCGAGCGUUGUCCGGAUUUAUUGGGCGUAAAGAGCUCGUAGGCGGUCUGUUGCGUCCGCUGUGAAAACCCGGGGCUUAACCCUGGGCUGGCAGUGGAUACGGACAGACUAGAGGUAGGUAGGGGAGAAUGGAAUUCCCGGUGUAGCGGUGAAAUGCGCAGAUAUCGGGAGGAACACCGGUGGCGAAGGCGGUUCUCUGGGCCUUACCUGACGCUGAGGAGCGAAGGCCAGGGGAGCAAACGGG